CUACGGGAGGCUCCAGUGAGGAAUAUUGGUCAAUGGCCGAGAGGCUGAACCAGCCAUCCCGCGUGCAGGAUGACGGCCCUAUGGGUUGUAAACUGCUUUUCUACGCCAAGAAAUCUGAUUACGUGUAAUUAGUUGACGGUAGCGUAGGAAUAAGCAUCGGCUAACUCCGUGCCAGGCAGCCGCGGUAAUACGGAGGAUGCAAGCGUUAUCCGGAUUCAUUGGUUUAAAGGGUGCGCAGGCGGGCUUGUAAGUCAGUGGUGAAAUACUGCCGCUUAACGGUAGAACUGCCAUUGAUACUGCAAGUCUUGAAUAUGGUUGAGGUAGGCGGAAUGUGUUGUGUAGCGGUGAAAUGCAUAGAUAUGACACAGAACGCCGAUUGCGAAGGCAGCUUACUAAGCCAUUAUUGACGCUGAGGCACGAAAGCGUGGGGAGCGAACAGGAUUAGAUACCCUCGUAGUC
RNAcentral lists this ribosomal RNA (459 nucleotides) under uncultured bacterium. Its description in RNAcentral is "partial 16S ribosomal RNA". It matches the Rfam family "Bacterial small subunit ribosomal RNA", at positions 339 to 795 of the family's 1533-position model. The record is from RNAcentral.